Molecule: ribosomal RNA, 1970 nt
Filed under: metagenome
Description: bacterial LSU rRNA
Rfam family: Bacterial large subunit ribosomal RNA
Source: RNAcentral
UUAAGUGAAUAAGGGCGCACGGUGGAUGCCUUGGCACUAGGAGCCGAUGAAGGACGGGACUAACACCGAUAUGCUUUGGGGAGCUGUAAGUAAGCUAUGAUCCAGAGAUUUCCGAAUGGGGGAACCCAAUAUCUUUUAUAGGAUAUUACUUUUCAGUGAAUACAUAGCUGAUUAGAGGUAGACGCAGAGAACUGAAACAUCUUAGUACCUGCAGGAAGAGAAAGAAAAUUCGAUUCCCUGAGUAGCGGCGAGCGAAACGGGAAGAGCCCAAACCAACAAGCUUGCUUGUUGGGGUUGUAGGACUCCAAUAUGGUAGUCUGUUAGUAUAGUUGAAGGAUUUGGAAAAUUCCGCUAAAGAGGGUGAAAGCCCCGUAGACGAAAUGCUGACAACACCUAGGAGGAUCCUGAGUACGGCGGAACACGAGAAAUUCCGUCGGAAUCCGCGGGGACCAUCCCGCAAGGCUAAAUACUCCCUAGUGACCGAUAGUGAACCAGUACCGUGAGGGAAAGGUGAAAAGCACCCCGGAAGGGGAGUGAAAUAGAUCCUGAAACCGUGUGCCUACAACAAGUCAAAGCUCGUUAAUGAGUGAUGGCGUGCCUUUUGUAGAAUGAACCGGCGAGUUACGAUUGCAUGCGAGGUUAAGUCGAAGAGACGGAGCCGCAGCGAAAGCGAGUCUGAAUAGGGCGAAUGAGUAUGUAGUCGUAGACCCGAAACCAUGUGAUCUACCCAUGUCCAGGUUGAAGGUGCGGUAAAACGCACUGGAGGACCGAACCCACGUACGUUGAAAAGUGCGGGGAUGAGGUGUGGGUAGCGGAGAAAUUCCAAACGAACUUGGAGAUAGCUGGUUCUCUCCGAAAUAGCUUUAGGGCUAGCCUCGGAAUUGAGAAUGAUGGAGGUAGAGCACUGUUUGGACUAGGGGCCCAUCUCGGGUUACCGAAUUCAGAUAAACUCCGAAUGCCAUUCAUUUAUAUCCGGGAGUCAGACUGCGAGUGAUAAGAUCCGUAGUCGAAAGGGAAACAGCCCAGACCACCAGCUAAGGUCCCAAAAUAUAUGUUAAGUGGAAAAGGAUGUGGGGUUGCACAGACAACUAGGAUGUUGGCUUAGAAGCAGCCACCAUUUAAAGAGUGCGUAAUAGCUCACUAGUCGAGUGACCCUGCGCCGAAAAUGUACCGGGGCUAAACAUAUUACCGAAGCUGUGGACUACACCAUUAGGUGUAGUGGUAGGAGAGCGUUCUAAGGGCGUUGAAGGUCGAUCGUGAGGACGGCUGGAGCGCUUAGAAGUGAGAAUGCCGGUAUGAGUAGCGAAAGACAGGUGAGAAUCCUGUCCACCGUAUGACUAAGGUUUCCUGGGGAAGGCUCGUCCGCCCAGGGUUAGUCGGGACCUAAGCCGAGGCCGAUAGGCGUAGGCGAUGGACAACAGGUUGAUAUUCCUGUACCAGUUGUUUUUGUUUGAGCAAUGGAGGGACGCAGUAGGCUAAGGAAUGCAUGCGAUUGGAAGUGCAUGUCCAAGCAAUGAGUCUUGAGUAGAGUUAAAUGCUUUACUCUUUAAGGACAAGUUGUGACGGGGAGCGAAAUAAUAGUAGCGAAGUUCCUGAUGUCACACUGCCAAGAAAAGCUUCUAGUGAGAAAACAACUGCCCGUACCGUAAACCGACACAGGUAGUCGAGGAGAGUAUCCUAAGGUGAGCGAGCGAACUCUCGUUAAGGAACUCGGCAAAAUGACCCCGUAACUUCGGGAGAAGGGGUGCUGACUUCGGUCAGCCGCAGUGAAUAGGCCCAAGCGACUGUUUAUCAAAAACACAGGUCUCUGCAAAAUCGUAAGAUGAAGUAUAGGGGCUGACGCCUGCCCGGUGCUGGAAGGUUAAGAGGAUGGGUUAGCUUCGGCGAAGCUCAGAAUUGAAGCCCCAGUAAACGGCGGCCGUAACUAUAACGGUCCUAAGGUAGCGAAAUUCCUUGUCGGGUAAGUUCCG